Biomphalaria pfeifferi is the source of this 948-nucleotide non-coding RNA. The record is from the annotation of a GenBank genome assembly. Lineage: Eukaryota; Metazoa; Mollusca; Gastropoda; Planorbidae.
AGACUUUCCAAUAUUUAUUCAAUACUGUGGCAAGGAUAAAUAUAAUUGUUGAAAGAAGGGAGUUACACAGAUCUACACUGACUGACUGUAGUUGACCAGAAGUUUGUAACAAGUCUGCCAUACAUCUGUGUAGAGAUUAUCUACAUGUAGUAAGUUUCUCAUAUCUUGAAAUAGGUCAUACAAGUUUGUACAUGGUAAGUUACUAGAAGGAAGUUAGGUCUCUGGCCAUCACCACCUGCAGAUGGUGAUCAUUUGAAUUCUAGACCAUGAGCAUGACAUGCUACCAGCUUGCCAGAAUUCAAACAAGUAUUCCUCUGGUUCUAUUGCACUGAUGUCAGGUCCCAGUAAUGAAAGGAGACAGAAGAGGUGAUUUGUACACAGGAAUAACAAUAGAAGUAUACACACGCUAUGGUAAGAAAUGAAAUCUAACAGCAAACAUUUAUUCAUUAUGACCAAGAGUUGGCUAGCAACUAGUUGAUCUGGUUAUAUACCGGUACAUACUGAAUACAAUUGUAGUUUGAAAAUAUUUUCUAAAAUCAAAUACAUACAUGGAUUGAAAAUGAUAUCUAUAUAUGUUCUGGUGCUGCCAAAUGUAGAAAACCCAAGUUGUUACAAUAAAUAAACGUCUCCAAAGAGACGACUCUGACCACAAGAUAGUUUGUGGACACACUAUGAUAUGUCCCAUCUAUUGAUCUCAAACAACUAAGGACUUGAACUUGAUGAUAACUUGCUGAAAGUGAAACUCCUGCCUAAUUUUUUAAAAAUAUUAAGAACAAGAAAGAAAUGUACAUUAACUUUUUUUAAAUAAAAAAAAAUGAAGUGAACUAAAGGCAACAAAGUAAUAUGCUAUAGCCAAAUCAGCCUACCAGCCUAGAAAUAAUGUAGGUAAUAAUAAUUAACAUUUAUUAAAGUAAAAGAUGAAUAAUUUAACUGUUUUUUUGUUUUUAU